This 200-nucleotide unclassified non-coding RNA is filed under the name Helotiales sp. RNAcentral describes it as "partial internal transcribed spacer 2". The record is from RNAcentral. Lineage: Eukaryota; Fungi; Ascomycota; Leotiomycetes; Helotiales.
UUAAGUUCAGCGGGUAUCCCUACCUGAUCCGAGGUCAACCUUAAAAAAUUGGGGUUGCUGGCAAGCACAAUCAAGACCCUAUAGCGAGAAAAAUUACUACGCGUAGAGCUUAAGAGCACCGCCACUGGUUUUAAGAGAGGCCAGUACUGGCCACCUCCAAGUCCACCACAAGGGUGAUUUGGUCGAUUUAUGACGCUCGA